GAAUAUUGGACAAUGGGCGCAAGCCUGAUCCAGCAAUGCCGCGUGAAUGAUGAAGGCCCUAGGGUUGUAAAGUUCUUUCGACGGGGACGAUGAUGACGGUACCCGUAGAAGACGCCCCGGCUAACUUCGUGCCAGCAGCCGCGGUAAUACGAAGGGGGCUAGCGUUGUUCGGAAUUACUGGGCGUAAAGCGCACGUAGGCGGUCCUGCCAGUCAGAAGUGAAAGCCCUGGGCUCAACCCGGGAACUGCUUUUGAUACUGUGGGGCUUGAAUCCUGGAGAGGGUAGUGGAAUUCCCAGUGUAGAGGUGAAAUUCGUAGAUAUUGGGAAGAACACCAGUGGCGAAGGCGACUACCUGGCCAGGCAUUGACGCUGAGGUGCGAAAGCGUGGGGAGCAAACAGG
Molecule: ribosomal RNA, 400 nt
Filed under: uncultured bacterium
Lineage: Bacteria
Description: bacterial SSU rRNA
Rfam family: Bacterial small subunit ribosomal RNA
Source: RNAcentral